RNAcentral lists this long non-coding RNA (2956 nucleotides) under Homo sapiens (human). RNAcentral's name for it is "HSALNT0317306". The record is from RNAcentral. Lineage: Eukaryota; Metazoa; Chordata; Mammalia; Primates; Hominidae.
AGAUUCAUUUUCUGCUCAGACACCGUUGCUUGCAAAAUUCCACCCAGAAGAUAAGGGAGGGAGUAUCGCUGCAGCGUCCUGCUCUGUGCCUGGUUAUAUUACUGGAUCCUUGUGUUGCAGCCCUAAGAUAGAAGGAUUGUCUCCAUUUCACAGAUGAGAGAGAACUGAUGCGCAGGAGGCUGAAAUUGUCUGAAGUCACACAGCAGCCUCCUCUUAAACAUGACAAAGAAUCCAAGGACUUGUGCUGGGGCUGUCAGCUGCUAUUCUGGUGCCCUGGGGACGAAGAAGGGAUCUGGAGGGAAGACUGUCACCCUCUUGCGAAUGUUUCCAAGAAGCAGCUCAGCAUGGGAGAGAAAAGGGGAGAUCCCAGUUCCAGGAACACCUGGCCAGUGUUUCACCUGUUUAUCGGAGUUGACAGGACCAGCCAGCCCUUUCCCACCUCUCCCCAUCAUGAUGGAUGGGAGCCUGGCCUUUGAGAAAGCACAGAACGUGGCACGUUGGAGGAAAUCAGUAAGUGUUUGCUAAAGGUCCAACAAUGAAACAGAACAGAUAUAUCCAGUGCUAUGCCGCGUCAAAAGAGUAUGAGAGGUAUUGUGGUGAUGCUUUUGAAUGCUAAUCAGAAUAAGGAGGGUGACUAGUCCAUAGUUAUAUAGAAUAUAGGAUAUACAGAAUAUACCUUUUUCUGUAACGGGAUGUGUCACUUAACUUUGUUCCUUAAAGCUCCAGAAGCCCAAGGUCACCCACAAUGAUUCAAGUAUUAUCAAUGUUGAGAGCCUGUAAAAGCAUCAAGUAUAUUAUAGUUUCCAAAAAAUUGUGAAUUAGACUGAAAACCAGCAUUUAAAAAAUAAAGUGAUGUUGACUUAAACACUGGUUUUAUAUACAUGCCGCAUAUGAGCUGUGGAGGCCGCUCACAUGCCAGCGUACUGGUUCAUCUGCAAUGGGCAGGCGGGCCAUACCCCACUGGGGAGAAAUCUUAUGGGCUUCAGAAAUGUCUAAUGAAAUAAGAUUUUUAACUAGUUCAAAAUCGGAGUUCAGAAACAGUUCAGUUAAUAUUUAAGUGUCGAGUUAAGAGAGGAGGUUGAACAAAAUUCAUUUUGAAGCUUUCACAGAGUUUUUAAAAAGCAAAACUUUAGACUUAAAAUGGACUGUUUUAUUAUAUGCAAUGCACGUGAAUAUUAAAUGUAUGUUAAGUUUUUCAUUUAGCAGAUUUCUCCCCAGACUUUUAAAACCACCACCAAAAAAUAUUUACAUAUUCUCUCCUCUCCCCCAAAGCAUCCCUCCCGUACACAAAUACCCUUAUUUUGAGACCGUGUUGCUCUAGAUUAAACCAGUUCUUCCAAGAGCAGCCCGUAGGAUUCUGCUCCAUCCAGAGCAAGGCCCUUGGCUAAAGUCACUGCCUCUGCUUGACUGAGCCGGGCUGGGAAUCUCAUUAUGGAAGCUUUCCACCUCCUUCCCAAGCCAGCCCUCUAGCGGAGGCCAAGAUUGCGUCAUCGGUCCUGGGCCUCAUCCCUCCUUGCCUGAGGCCUGCUCACCUAAUGUGUUUCAGGAGCAUUCCAGCAGCCAGGCCUUCAGUUGCUCCCCGAUCCCAGAUGGGGAAAACCUUGUGCGGCACAUUUGCCUCAGGAAGACUGCACUGGGCUCCCCGGCGCCCCUAGGACAGCGUCCCUUCACGUCGGAGAGACUGGGUGUGGGCCGUGAGGUUUAGGAGGCUUUAGGAGAAGGAAGAUCCUCUCUCAGGAGUGAAAUGAUCUUAUCUGAGAGGAUGGAAGUGGUGAGGGCAUCAGCAUGGGUCCUGGGCUGCGGCUGUGCCUCUUCCUCCCCAUGCUGACACGUGCUUGCCCACAAGCGCCCCGGGCCUCUACAUCUCUUGGUAGUUUAAAGCUCUAUUUUAGUCUCAACUAGCAGUUUCUCUCACUGGUAGAUCUAAGUUCUAAGACUAUUCAAUGGGUUCUGUUUCUUUUUUUAAGAAUUAAAAAAACUGUUCCAGUUAAUUCACGGUCACUAUGAAAAAAAUAGGCAGGACAUGUAAAUAAAAGAUUAAAAUAUAUACAAAUCAAAGAAGGAAGUACACCCAGGCCAGUUAUCAGGCAAGCUUGCCAGACAUCAAUCCAGCAAGAAAACGAUAGUGUGCUUUGAAAAUGCCAAAUCCGGCCGGGCGGGCGGCUCCCGCCUGUGAUCCCGGCACUUUGGGAGGCCGAGGCGGGCGGAUCACGAGGUCAGGAGAUCGAGACCAUCCUGGCUAACACGGUGAAACCCCGUCUCUACUAAAAAUACAAAAAAUUAGCCGGGCGUGGUGGCGGGCGCCUGUAGUCCCAGCUACUUGGGAGGCUGAGGCAGGAGAAUGGCGUGAACCCGGGAGGCGGAGCUUGCAGUGAGCCGAGAUGGCACCACUGCACUCCAGCCUGGGCAACAGAGCAAGACUCUGUCUCAAAAAAAAAAAAAAAAAAAAAGAAAAAGAAAAGAAAAUGCCAAAUCCGGCCAGGUGCGGUGGCUCAUGCCUGUAAUCCCAGCAUUUUGGGAGGCCAAGGCGGGUGGAUCACCAGAAGUCAGGAGUUCAAGACCAGCUUGACCAACAUGGAGAAACCCCGUCUCUACUAAAAAUACAAAAUUAGCUGGGCAUGGUGACGCAUGCCUGUAAUCCCAGCCACUCGGGAGCCUGAGGCAGGAGAAUCACUUAAACCCAGGAGGCAGAGGUUACUGUGAGCCAAGAUCGUCCCAUUGCACUCCAGCCUGGGCAACAAAAGUGAGACUCUGUCUCAAAAAAAAAAAAGAAAAAAGAAAGAAAAAAAGAAAAUGCCAAAUCCAUUACUUCUUUGGGAACCUCAGGUGUAACCGCUGGUGUGCUGUGGAUGACACAGCAUCACUGGGAUCUGGUGCCUGGUAUGAGCUGUGUGAAGGAGUAGGAGUGUGCUCACCCAUCCGCAGGGCCACCGUUGGUCACUGUCCUACAUUUUCC